GCUAAAUUCUGGGGGAUGGUAGCCCUCCAGGAAAAGGGUUGACUACUUCUGCUCUAAAUUUAUUUAAUAUUUUGGAUUUUUCCAUCUCUAAAUUACAUGUAAAGCAAACUCCAGGUAGUGUUUUUUUAUGUUGCGCAGAUGAUCAACCAGUCUAAGCUGCUACUGACUAAGACGUUGCACUGUGGAUCCAACUUUGUGUCAAUAUUCAAACCUCUGGAUACCUGAUACUAGUUACAAUACUUAAGUUAGAUAGACAUUGCAAAUAUGGGCUUUUGGUCUGUACUAGAAAAGGGUUGCUUGUGUUUAUUUUUUGCAGAACAUCACCACAGUGAGAGUCAGUAUCACAGACGUCAAUGACAACGCUCCAGUCUUCAGCUCUGACACCUACAGCAGAAGCAUUCUGGUUAAAGACGCCAAGGUUGGAGAGGUGCUGCUGACGCUCUCUGCCACAGAUAAAGAUGCCGGAUCCAACGCAAUCAUUAGAUACAGUUUCUCUGAAGAGUCUUCCAUGGUUGCACUGGAUGCUGAAACAGGAGACAUCACUCUGAUCUCUGACCUUAGCGAGGUCACAGAAGACAUGCUGCUAAUCCUUACUGCUACAGCGACAGAUCAUGGAACGCCAGCACAGUCUGAUGAAGGUUUGGGUCUGGUUUGCAUAAUUCCUUUGAAUUAUUCCUGUGAACAUUGUGUUCAAACAGUUCAGAUAAUGUUUGCAAAUAAACAGUUCUUUGGGAGGAGUUUAUUCUUAGUAAACCCCCCCUUCAGUAUUCAAAUGUGAUCCAAUGAACAUGUCAAAGCUAACAUCUUUCUUCUCUCUGUAGCUGAAGUCUUGAUCCACUUCAAAAUUUCCUCUCUCACUGAGAGUGUGGCUUUUGAGAGCUCCUCCUACAACUUCAAAAUUAAGGAGAAUGAACCUGAGGCCACAAUAGUAGGCAAGGUCAAGGCAUUACCAGGGAGUCCACUGGUUACAGUCAGCUAUAACAUGAAGUCACACGAGGAUGUCUUCUCUGUGGAUGAGGAAGGAACCAUAAAAGCUCUCAGACCACUGGACAAGGAGGAAGAGGAGUGGUACAUCCUCACCAUAGAGGCCAUAGACUCCAGAACACCUCCAAACACUGCAGAGACAGCGGUCAGCGUUCAGGUUGAGAAUGUAAAUGAAGCUCCUGUGUUUGACACUGAAAUAUAUAAGGCAGAAAUUUUCAGUAUCACUCCAUACAAAUUCCCUAUAGUGAAGGUCCAGGCAUCAGACCCUGAUGUUGGCGAGAGCUCAGAUUUGCAGUAUUCACUACUGGAGUCCACAUCUCUGGUGGAAGUGGAGGCAAACACUGGUCAGAUCUAUGUGCUGGAUGCAUCUAGUGUUGGCGGCGGUCUGUUCACUUUACACGUUAAAGCCACUGAUAAACAUGGACUGUUCACGACUACAAAACUUGAGUUCACAGUGAAAGAAAGUGAAAGUGACAACGUCGUGGUCCUCUCUCUAAACCAGCCCGUGUUCACAGUGGAGAAGAAGAUACCAGAGAUUGAAGAUUCCAUGAGGAAAGCUUUAGGUUUGACUGUGAAAAUCCUCAGUGUGGGAGCUGAGGAUGGGAUCGAGAUGCGCACCAUUCUCCGGGAAUCUGCAGUCAAGACUUACAUCAGCUUCAUUGCCAUGGACUCCAGUGGUGCUGUCAUUGAAGCCACGGAGGUCAAAGAGAAACUGCGGAGUAAUCACAACGCUCUAAAAGUGGAGCUGGAGAAGGUGUUUGGUUCCGAUUUGGAAUUCAAAGUGGAGGAUGGUUCUGGAAACAAUUCUGAAGAUUCCAGUCAAGCAGCAGUCAUCGCUCUCGGUGUUCUGCUGGCUAUAAGCAUUGUGGGACUCAUCACUCUGACGACUGUCUAUCUCGUUAGGAAUAAGAAAAUGAAGUACACGGAUUCGGACAAAGAGAGCUUCAAUAUUGGCAGAACCAAGACCAGAUCAAGUAUUGACAGUAGUUUUCACUUUUCCAGCAAAAAAGAAGCCAAAGAGGUCGAGUUCAGUAACAGACGCGAGUUUGAAAGAUAUUCCGAAAAUGAUGCAGAUUUGAAAACUGGAAGCAGCAUCUCUGCCCUAUGAAAACAUCCUGAUGGAUUAUAAGAUUUCAUGAGUUUUAACAUGAAUUCUGACACACUGUUAAAUCUCUGUUCCAAAACUUAGUGAGUUGCAUUUUAAGGCAAUUCCAAAAGAUACAAGCUAAUCCCAUAAUGCAUUGUGACAAGACAGAGUGAAAUGUUGACUAUAAAUAUACUUCUUUCAGUUAAUAAUGAAAAAUUGUCAAUUUUACUCAACAUUUUAUGCUUGCUGCCUAUGUAGUGUGUGCAAUUAUCAGUCACUUCUAGGUUUCAUUUCAGUUGAGAUGCUUAAACUCACCCAUUUUUGGAAAAGAACAAAAAUCUUCUUUGUAUCCGUGUUUUUAAUAUGUACAUUCAACUGCCUUGCAUUUUGAUAAUUCAUUUUCAAGGUGGUCUUUUACAAAGGGACUUGGACAUCCCAAAACCUGCUCACAAAUAACAGUAGGCUUUUGCACUUUAACUGGCCCAGCUAUGAUUGUGUAUCAAAACGCU
RNAcentral lists this long non-coding RNA (2580 nucleotides) under Sinocyclocheilus anshuiensis. Its description in RNAcentral is "lncRNA (ENSSANG00000034763.1)". The record is from RNAcentral. Lineage: Eukaryota; Metazoa; Chordata; Actinopteri; Cypriniformes; Cyprinidae.